This 440-nucleotide ribosomal RNA is filed under the name uncultured bacterium. RNAcentral's name for it is "partial 16S ribosomal RNA". It matches the Rfam family "Bacterial small subunit ribosomal RNA", at positions 338 to 795 of the family's 1533-position model. The record is from RNAcentral.
CCUACGGGAGGCUGCAGUGGGGAAUAUUGCACAAUGGGGGAAACCCUGAUGCAGCGACGCCGCGUGAGUGAGGAAGUAUUUCGGUAUGUAAAGCUCUAUCAGCAGGGAAGAAAAUGACGGUACCUGACUAAGAAGCCCCGGCUAACUACGUGCCAGCAGCCGCGGUAAUACGUAGGGGGCAAGCGUUAUCCGGAUUUACUGGGUGUAAAGGGAGCGUAGACGGAAUAGCAAGUCUGAUGUGAAAACCCGGGGCUCAACUCCGGGAGUGCAUUGGAAACUGUUGAUCUAGAGUGUCGGAGAGGCAAGCGGAAUUCCUAGUGUAGCGGUGAAAUGCGUAGAUAUUAGGAGGAACACCAGUGGCGAAGGCGGCUUGUUGGACGAUGACUGACGUUGAGGCUCGAAAGCGUGGGUAUCGAACAGGAUUAGAUACCCGUGUAGUC